CCCAGCACCCUGUGCUGCCAUCAAGGCAGAUCUAGACAAAUGUGUAAAGGCGAAUGGUGAGGAAGCGUGUAAGGAGCUAAUGGAGGCGUUUGCUACCUGUGUGAAGAGCAACUGCUGAGGCGUCAUGAGGAGCUCAACAUGCAGGAAAACGUUUUACUGCACUGAGUACUCCACCUUCCCAGCAUUCCCCUGCAGCUCAUGGCACUGGACUCAAUGAUGGGGUUUGGGGUUUGGCAGCAGAGACCAUAUUUGUGUCUCCUUCCCUUCUCUACUGACCUGUGAAGCUUAAAUGGAUUCCUCCAACCACCAACCUCCCCUCCCCGUUUGUGGCUGAUUGUAUUGAUCUGACCUGUAGACAGUUUGAGAGUUGAUGUAAAUGAUGUGUCUCAGAUGCUUUCAAAAUGGAAUAAAGAUUUAAAAAAAAAAAAAAA
This is a long non-coding RNA of Cyprinus carpio (common carp), 431 nucleotides long. RefSeq lists it as uncharacterized. The transcript is spliced from 3 exons. Lineage: Eukaryota; Metazoa; Chordata; Actinopteri; Cypriniformes; Cyprinidae. The record is from RefSeq and is a predicted model, not a curated record.